GACGAACGCUUGGCGGCGUGCUUUAACACAUGCAAGUCGAACGAUGAUGCCCAGCUUGCUGGUUGGAUUAGUGGCGAACGGGUGAGUAACACGUGAGUAACCUGCCCCUGACUCUGGGAUAAGCGUUGGAAACGACGUCUAAUACUGGAUAUGACUGCCGGCCGCAUGGUCUGGUGGUGGAAAGAUUUUUUGGUUGGGGAUGGACUCGCGGCCUAUCAGCUUGUUGGUGAGGUAAUGGCUCACCAAGGCGACGACGGGUAGCCGGCCUGAGAGGGUGACCGGCCACACUGGGACUGAGACACGGCCCAGACUCCUACGGGAGGCAGCAGUGGGGAAUAUUGCACAAUGGGCGAAAGCUGAUGCAGCAACGCCGCGUGAGGGAUGACGGCCUUCGGGUUGUAAACCUCUUUUAGUAGGGAAGAAGCGAAAGUGACGGUACCUGCAGAAAAAGCACCGGCUAACUACGUGC
Molecule: ribosomal RNA, 469 nt
Filed under: Curtobacterium sp. B14
Lineage: Bacteria; Bacillati; Actinomycetota; Actinomycetes; Micrococcales; Microbacteriaceae
Description: bacterial SSU rRNA
Rfam family: Bacterial small subunit ribosomal RNA
Source: RNAcentral